AUUGAACGCUGGCGGCAUGCCUUACACAUGCAAGUCGAACGGCAGCACGGGUGCUUGCACCUGGUGGCGAGUGGCGAACGGGUGAGUAAUACAUCGGAACAUGUCCUGUAGUGGGGGAUAGCCCUGCGAAAGCCGGAUUAAUACCGCAAACGAUCCACGGCUGAAAGCGGGGGCCCUUCGGGCUUCGCGCUUUCGGGUUGGCCGAUGGCUGAUUAGCUAGUUGGUGGGGUAAAGGCCCACCAAGGCGACGAUCAGUAGCUGGUCUGAGAGGACGACCAGCCACACUGGGACUGAGACACGGCCCAGACUCCUACGGGAGGCAGCAGUGGGGAAUUUUGGACAAUGGGCGAAAGCCUGAUCCAGCAAUGCCGCGUGUGUGAAGAAGGCCUUCGGGUUGUAAAGCACUUUUGUCCGGAAAGAAAACCUUGGCUCUAAUACAGUCGGGGGAUGACGGUACCGGAAGAAUAAGCACCGGCUAACUACGUG
RNAcentral lists this ribosomal RNA (486 nucleotides) under uncultured bacterium. RNAcentral's name for it is "partial 16S ribosomal RNA". It matches the Rfam family "Bacterial small subunit ribosomal RNA", at positions 30 to 507 of the family's 1533-position model. The record is from RNAcentral.